RNAcentral lists this ribosomal RNA (401 nucleotides) under uncultured bacterium. RNAcentral describes it as "bacterial SSU rRNA". It matches the Rfam family "Bacterial small subunit ribosomal RNA", at positions 362 to 756 of the family's 1533-position model. The record is from RNAcentral.
UUUUGGACAAUGGGCGCAAGCCUGAUCCAGCAAUGCCGCGUGAGUGAAGAAGGCCUUCGGGUUGUAAAGCUCUUUUGUCAGGGAAGAAACGGUGAGCUCUAAUACAGUUUGCUAAUGACGGUACCUGAAGAAUAAGCACCGGCUAACUACGUGCCAGCAGCCGCGGUAAUACGUAGGGUGCAAGCGUUAAUCGGAAUUACUGGGCGUAAAGCGUGCGCAGGCGGUUAUGUAAGUCAGAUGUGAAAUCCCCGGGCUCAACCUGGGAAUGGCAUUUGAGACUGCAUGGCUAGAGUGUGUCAGAGGGGGGUAGAAUUCCACGUGUAGCAGUGAAAUGGGUAGAGAUGUGGAGGAAUACCGAUGGCGAAGGCGGCUCCCUGGCCUGAUACUGACACUGAGCACGA